This 253-nucleotide ribosomal RNA is filed under the name uncultured bacterium. RNAcentral's name for it is "partial 16S ribosomal RNA". It matches the Rfam family "Bacterial small subunit ribosomal RNA", at positions 524 to 776 of the family's 1533-position model. The record is from RNAcentral.
UACGAGAGGCCCAAACGUUAUUCGGAAUUACUGGGCUUAAAGAGUUCGUAGGCGGCAUGAAAAGCAGGGUGUGAAAGCCCCCGGCUCAACCGAGGAAUUGCGCUCUGAACUGUCGUGCUUGAGGAACCUAGAGGUGAGCAGAACUGAUGGUGGAGCGGUGAAAUGCGUUGAUAUCAUCAGGAAUACCGGAGGCGAAGGCGGCUCACUGGGGGUUUUCUGACGCUGAGGAACGAAAGCCAGGGGAGCGAACGGG